CGUUAUCCGGAAUUAUUGGGCGUAAAGCGCGCGUAGGCGGUUUCUUAAGUCUGAUGUGAAAGCCCACGGCUCAACCGUGGAGGGUCAUUGGAAACUGGGAAACUUGAGUGCAGAAGAGGAGAGUGGAAUUCCAUGUGUACCGGUGAAAUG
This 150-nucleotide ribosomal RNA is filed under the name Mammaliicoccus sciuri. Its description in RNAcentral is "Staphylococcus sciuri partial 16S ribosomal RNA". It matches the Rfam family "Bacterial small subunit ribosomal RNA", at positions 539 to 688 of the family's 1533-position model. The record is from RNAcentral. Lineage: Bacteria; Bacillati; Bacillota; Bacilli; Caryophanales; Staphylococcaceae.